CUAGUUCUAAACCAAAGAGAACAAAAACAAUGGCGGCGAUUUCUUGUCACUCUACGCUUCCAUCCAACAAAGUCUAUUUCUCCUCGUCUUCCUCUGCUUUCUCCAGUAAUGUUCUCUCCCAGUCUGCUCGAUUCUCCGGUGUAUCGGUUUCAUCUCGGGUGAUUCGUGGGAGAAUCUCGUGCCAGACCUCUUCUGCUACCUCUUCGUCUUCCUCUUCCGUCAAUGGCAAAGCAAAAACAGAGCUGAAGGAUUUUCUACACAUUAGUGAUUUUGACAAAGCCACUCUUAUGAAGAUCUUGGACCGGGCUGCAGAGGUUAAGGCAUUGUUAAAAUCUGGAGACAGGACAUUCCUCCCAUUUAAAGGAAAGACAAUGGCUAUGAUCUUUGCAAAGCCUUCUAUGAGGACAAGGGUUUCAUUUGAGACUGGGUUCUUCUUGCUUGGAGGCCAUGCUAUAUAUUUAGGGCCUGAUGAUAUCCAGAUGGGCAAACGGGAGGAAACUCGUGAUGUUGCUCGUGUUUUGUCUCGCUAUAAUGAUGUAAUCAUGGCACGUGUUUUUGCUCAUCAGGAUAUUCUUGAUCUGGCAAAGUACGCAACUGUACCUGUUAUUAAUGGCUUGACUGACUACAACCAUCCGUGCCAAAUAAUGGCUGAUGCCCUCACAAUAAUUGAGCACAUUGGUCAGUUGGAGGGGACCAAGGUUGUAUAUGUUGGGGAUGGGAAUAACAUUGUGCACUCUUGGAUGUUGAUGGCAUCUGUUAUUCCUUUCCACUUUGUUUGUGCCUGCCCUAAAGGUUUUGAACCAGAUGCAAAAACAGUUGACAAAGCACGAGAGGCUGGAAUCAGCAAGAUCGAGGUCACAAAUGAUCCAAAGGAAGCUGUUAGCGGAGCUGAUGUUGUAUACUUAGAUGUGUGGGCAAGCAUGGGCCAAAAAGAAGAGGCAGCACACCGUCAUAAAGUUUUUCAAGGAUUUCAGGUGGAUGAAGAUCUGAUGAAAUUAGCUGGACCAAAUGCUUACUUUAUGCAUUGUUUGCCAGCUGAGAGGGGUGUGGAGGUGACAGAUGGUGUCAUUGAAGCUCCAAACUCUAUUGUCUUCCCACAAGCUGAGAACCGCAUGCAUGCCCAGAAUGCUAUAAUGCUUCAUAUGCUUGGUCUGUGAUCUCAUUCCUCCCAUGCCUGAUGAUGGGCAAGUACCGAUGUUUGUGGCUGUUGAAGUCUUAGGCUCUUGGCUAUUUCAAAAUUGUUCUUUUGCAAUUUUAAAUUUUUUGUUGGAAUAGAUGUUUAAUUUUGUGGCUUUGACCUGGUCCAUUCAGGAUUUGUUAGAAUAGAUACGUUUACCAGACAAAACUUAUGGAAAUUAUCUGG
This 1363-nucleotide unclassified non-coding RNA is filed under the name Hevea brasiliensis (rubber tree). Lineage: Eukaryota; Viridiplantae; Streptophyta; Magnoliopsida; Malpighiales; Euphorbiaceae. The record is from RNAcentral.